GGAUCUUCGGAUCCUUGCACAGUCCGAUGGGCCCGCGGCGCAUUAGCUAGUUGGAGAGGUAAGGGCUCCCCAAGGCGACGAUGCGUAGCCGACCUGAGAGGGUGAUCGGCCACACUGGGACUGAGACACGGCCCAGACUCCUACGGGAGGCAGCAGUAGGGAAUCAUCCGCAAUGGGCGAAAGCCUGACGGUGCAACGCCGCGUGAGUGAUGAAGGUUUUCGGAUCGUAAAGCUCUGUUGACAGGGAAGAACCCACGCCAGUCGAACAGGCUGGCGUGCUGACGGUACCUGUCCAGAAAGCCCCGGCUAACUACGUGCCAGCAGCCGCGGUAAUACGUAGGGGGCAAGCGUUGUCCGGAAUUAUUGGGCGUAAAGGGCACGCAGGCGGUUUCGUCAGUCCGAUGUGACAGGCCACGGCUCAACCGUGGAAGGCCAUUGGAAACUGCGAAACUUGAGGACAGAAGAGGAGAGUGGAAUUCCACGUGUAGCGGUGAAAUGCGUAGAUAUGUGGAGGAACACCAGUGGCGAAGGCGACUCUCUGGUCUGUACCUGACGCUGAGGUGCGAAAGCAUGGGGAGCAAACAGGAUUAGAUACCCUGGUAGUCCAUGCCGUAAACGCUGAGUGCUAGGUGUUAGGGGUUUCGAUACCCGUAGUGCCGAAGCUAACGCAUUAAGCACUCCGCCUGGGGAGUACGACCGCAAGGUUGAAACUCAAAGGAAUUGACGGGGGCCCGCACAAGCGGUGGAGCAUGUGGUUUAAUUCGACGCAACGCGAAGAACCUUACCAGAUCUUGACAUCUUCCGCUACGCCUCGAGAGAGGCGGUUCCCCUUCGGGGGACGGAAUGACAGGUGGUGCAUGGUUGUCGUCAGCUCGUGUCGUGAGAUGUUGGGUUAAGUCCCGCAACGAGCGCAACCCCUAAUCUUAGUUGCCAGCAUUCAGUUGGGCACUCUAAGGUGACUGCCGGUGACAAACCGGAGGAAAGGUGGGGAUGACGUCAAAUCAUCAUGCCCCUUAUGAUCUGGGCUACACACGUGCUACAAUGGAUGGUACAACGGGACGCGAACCCGCGAGGGGGAGCCAAUCCAGAAA
This 1091-nucleotide ribosomal RNA is filed under the name Marinococcus luteus. RNAcentral describes it as "bacterial SSU rRNA". It matches the Rfam family "Bacterial small subunit ribosomal RNA", at positions 202 to 1279 of the family's 1533-position model. Lineage: Bacteria; Bacillati; Bacillota; Bacilli; Caryophanales; Bacillaceae. The record is from RNAcentral.